GUGAGGAAUAUUGGACAAUGGGCGCAAGCCUGAUCCAGCCAUGCCGCGUGCAGGAAGAAGCAUCUAUGGUGUGUAAACUGCUUUUGUACGGGAAGAAACACUCCUUCGUGAAGGAGCUUGACGGUACCGUAAGAAUAAGGAUCGGCUAACUCCGUGCCAGCAGCCGCGGUAAUACGGAGGAUCCAAGGGUUAUCCGGCAUCAUUGGGUUUAAAGGGUCCGUAGGCGGUUUGGUAAGUAAGUGGUGAAAGCCCGCAGCUCAACUGUGGAACGGCCAUUGAUACUGCCAGACUUGAAUUACAAGGAAGUAACUAGAAUAUGUAGUGUAGCGGUGAAAUGCUUAGAUAUUACAUGGAAUACCAAUUGCGAAGGCAGGUUACUACUUGUGGAUUGACGCUGAUGGACGAAAGCGUGGGGAGCGAACAGGAUUAGAUACCCUAGUAGUCC
This 445-nucleotide ribosomal RNA is filed under the name uncultured bacterium. RNAcentral describes it as "partial 16S ribosomal RNA". It matches the Rfam family "Bacterial small subunit ribosomal RNA", at positions 354 to 796 of the family's 1533-position model. The record is from RNAcentral.